UCUUUUGAACUUAUAAAAGGUGGUACCUGCCCAGUGAACUAGUUUUAACGGCCGCAGUAUUUUGACUGUGCAAAGGUAGCAUAAUAAUUUGUCUUAUAAUUGAAGACUGGAAUGAAGGGUUUUAUGAGAAUAAAGCUGUCUCCUUUACAUAAAUAGAAAUUAUUUUAAAAGUUAAAAAACUUUUAUCAAAAAGAGGGACGAGAAGACCCUAUUAAGCUUUAGUAAAUUAUUUUUAUCAUAAUUUUUUAUUUAAUAGAUUUAAAAUAAUAAUAAUUACUUUGAUUGGGGUGAUCAAGGAAUAAAAAAACUUCCUUUAAUUUAAAUUAGGAUACUAAAAUGACCCAAUAUUUUUGUUUGUUAAACUAAGUUACUAUAGGGAUAACAGCGUAAUUUCUUUUAAAAGUUCUUAUUAAAAAAGAAGUUUGCGACCUCGAUGUUGGGUUAAGAAAACUUUUAGGUGCAGAAGCUUAAAACGUAAGUCUGUUCGACUUUUAAUUU
This 498-nucleotide ribosomal RNA is filed under the name Phoroniformea sp. larval OTU P3. RNAcentral's name for it is "partial 16S ribosomal RNA". It matches the Rfam family "Bacterial large subunit ribosomal RNA", at positions 1833 to 2594 of the family's 2925-position model. Lineage: Eukaryota; Metazoa; Phoronida. The record is from RNAcentral.